This 217-nucleotide ribosomal RNA is filed under the name uncultured bacterium. RNAcentral's name for it is "partial 16S ribosomal RNA". It matches the Rfam family "Bacterial small subunit ribosomal RNA", at positions 1286 to 1500 of the family's 1533-position model. The record is from RNAcentral.
UCCCAGUUCGGAUUGCAGGCUGAAACCCGCCUGUAUGAAGUUGGAAUCGCUAGUAAUCGCGGAUCAGCAUGCCGCGGUGAAUACGUUCCCGGGCCUUGUACACACCGCCCGUCACACCAUGAGAGUCGGGAACACCCGAAGUCCGUAGCCUAACUAGCAAUAGGGGGCGCGGCCGAAGGUGGGUUCGAUAAUUGGGGUGAAGUCGUAACAAGGUACC